AGUGAACGCUGGCGGCGUGCUUAACACAUGCAAGUCGAACGAUGAAACCUAGCUUGCUAGGUGGAUUAGUGGCGCACGGGUGAGUAAUAUAUAGAUAAUGUACCUCUUAGUCUGGGAUAGCCAUUGGAAACGAUGAUUAAUACUAGAUACUCCUUCUCCUUCUAAUUGGAGUUGGGAAAGUUUUUCGCUAAGAGAUCAGUCUAUAUCCCAUCAGUUAGUUGGUAGGGUAAUGGCCUACCAAGGCAAUGACGGGUAGCGGGUUUGAGAGGAUGAUCCGCCACACUGGUACUGAGACACGGACCAG
RNAcentral lists this ribosomal RNA (304 nucleotides) under uncultured Sulfurimonas sp. RNAcentral describes it as "bacterial SSU rRNA". It matches the Rfam family "Bacterial small subunit ribosomal RNA", at positions 29 to 334 of the family's 1533-position model. Lineage: Bacteria; Pseudomonadati; Campylobacterota; Epsilonproteobacteria; Campylobacterales; Sulfurimonadaceae. The record is from RNAcentral.